CCUACGGGAGGCUGCAGUGGGGAAUAUUGGACAAUGGGCGAAAGCCUGAUCCAGCCAUGCCGCGUGUGUGAAGAAGGCCUUCGGGUUGUAAAGCACUUUCAGUGGGGAAGAAAGCCUUGGGGCUAAUACCCUCGAGGAAGGACAUCACCCACAGAAGAAGCACCGGCUAACUCCGUGCCAGCAGCCGCGGUAAUACGGAGGUGCGAGCGUUAAUCGGAAUUACUGGGCGUAAAGCGCGCGUAGGCGGUCUGAUAAGCCGGUUGUGAAAGCCCCGGGCUCAACCUGGGAACGGCAUCCGGAACUGUCAGGCUAGAGUGCAGGAGAGGAAGGUAGAAUUCCCGGUGUAGCGGUGAAAUGCGUAGAGAUCGGGAGGAAUACCAGUGGCGAAGGCGGCCUUCUGGACUGACACUGACGCUGAGGUGCGAAAGCGUGGGUAGCAAACAGGAUUAGAUACCCGUGUAGUC
This 464-nucleotide ribosomal RNA is filed under the name Vreelandella stevensii. RNAcentral's name for it is "partial 16S ribosomal RNA". It matches the Rfam family "Bacterial small subunit ribosomal RNA", at positions 338 to 795 of the family's 1533-position model. The record is from RNAcentral. Lineage: Bacteria; Pseudomonadati; Pseudomonadota; Gammaproteobacteria; Oceanospirillales; Halomonadaceae.